CGAAAGCCUGACGGAGCAACGCCGCGUGAGGGAUGAAGGCCUCUGGGCUGUAAACCUCUUUUCUCAAGGAAGAAGAUCUGACGGUACUUGAGGAAUAAGCCACGGCUAAUUCCGUGCCAGCAGCCGCGGUAAUACGGGAGUGGCAAGCGUUAUCCGGAAUUAUUGGGCGUAAAGCGUCCGCAGGCGGCCUAUCAAGUCUGUCGUUAAAGCGUGGAGCUUAACUCCAUUUGAGCGAUGGAAACUGAAAGGCUAGAGUGUGGUAGGGGCAGAGGGAAUUCCCGGUGUAGCGGUGAAAUGCGUAGAUAUCGGGAAGAACACCAGUGGCGAAGGCGCUCUGCUGGGCCAUAACUGACGCUCAUGGACGAAAGCCAGGGGAGCG
RNAcentral lists this ribosomal RNA (379 nucleotides) under uncultured cyanobacterium. RNAcentral describes it as "bacterial SSU rRNA". It matches the Rfam family "Bacterial small subunit ribosomal RNA", at positions 376 to 770 of the family's 1533-position model. The record is from RNAcentral. Lineage: Bacteria; Bacillati; Cyanobacteriota.